AUUGAACGCUGGCGGCAUGCCUUACACAUGCAAGUCGAACGGCAUCGCGGGAAAGCUUGCUUUCCUGGCGGCGAGUGGCGAACGGGCGAGUAACACAUCGGAACGUACCGGCUAGUGGGGGAUAACCCGUCGAAAGACGGGCUAAUACCGCAUACGCUCUUCGGAGGAAAGCAGGGGACCUUUGGGCCUUGCGCUAGCCGAGCGGCCGAUGUCCGAUUAGCUAGUUGGUGGGGUAAAGGCCUACCAAGGCGACGAUCGGUAGCGGGUCUGAGAGGACGAUCCGCCACACUGGGACUGAGACACGGCCCAGACUCCUACGGGAGGCAGCAGUGGGGAAUCUUGGACAAUGGGGGCAACCCUGAUCCAGCAAUGCCGCGUGGGUGAAGAAGGCCUUCGGGUUGUAAAGCCCUUUCGGCAGGGAAGAAAUCGGCGGGGCGAAUAACCCUGCUGGAUGACGGUACCUGCAGAAGAAGCACCGGCUAACUACGUG
Molecule: ribosomal RNA, 490 nt
Filed under: uncultured bacterium
Lineage: Bacteria
Description: partial 16S ribosomal RNA
Rfam family: Bacterial small subunit ribosomal RNA
Source: RNAcentral